GCUCAGGAUGAACGCUAGCUACAGGCUUAACACAUGCAAGUCGAGGGGUAGCAGGGUAGCAAUACCGCUGACGACCGGCGCACGGGUGAGUAACACGUAUCCAACCUUCCCAUAACUCGGGGAUAGCCUUUCGAAAGAAAGAUUAAUACCCGAUAGUACUUAUAUAAGGCAUCUUAAAUAAGUUAAAGAUUUAUUGGUUAUGGAUGGGGAUGCGUUCCAUUAGAUAGUUGGUGAGGUAACGGCUCACCAAGUCUUCGAUGGAUAGGGGUUCUGAAAGGAAGGUCCCCCACAUUGGUACUGAGACACGGACCAAACUCCUACGGGAGGCAGCAGUGAGGAAUAUUGGUCAAUGGGCGAGAGCCUGAACCAGCCAAGUA
RNAcentral lists this ribosomal RNA (377 nucleotides) under uncultured Bacteroidales bacterium. RNAcentral describes it as "bacterial SSU rRNA". It matches the Rfam family "Bacterial small subunit ribosomal RNA", at positions 22 to 398 of the family's 1533-position model. The record is from RNAcentral. Lineage: Bacteria; Pseudomonadati; Bacteroidota; Bacteroidia; Bacteroidales.